Molecule: ribosomal RNA, 253 nt
Filed under: uncultured bacterium
Lineage: Bacteria
Description: partial 16S ribosomal RNA
Rfam family: Bacterial small subunit ribosomal RNA
Source: RNAcentral
UACGUAGGGUGCGAGCGUUGUCCGGAAUUACUGGGCGUAAAGAGCUCGUAGGUGGUUUGUCGCGUUGUCCGUGAAAACUCACAGCUCAACUGUGGGCGUGCGGGCGAUACGGGCAGACUGGAGUACUGCAGGGGAGACUGGAAUUCCUGGUGUAGCGGUGGAAUGCGCAGAUAUCAGGAGGAACACCCGUGGCUAAGGCGGCUCUCUAGUACGGUACUGACGCUGAGACGCGAAAGCGUGGGGAGCGAACAGG